RNAcentral lists this transfer RNA (73 nucleotides) under Lachnospiraceae bacterium. RNAcentral describes it as "tRNA-Ile". It matches the Rfam family "tRNA". Rfam says of the family: Transfer RNA (tRNA) molecules are approximately 80 nucleotides in length. Their secondary structure includes four short double-helical elements and three loops (D, anti-codon, and T loops). The record is from RNAcentral. Lineage: Bacteria; Bacillati; Bacillota; Clostridia; Lachnospirales; Lachnospiraceae.
AUUGGUGUAGCUCAGUGGAUAGAGCGCGUCUCUAAUAAAGACAUGGUCGUGGGUUCGAGUCCCAUCAUCCGUA